Long non-coding RNA from Gorilla gorilla gorilla (western lowland gorilla), 2569 nucleotides. RefSeq lists it as uncharacterized. The record is from RefSeq and is a predicted model, not a curated record. Lineage: Eukaryota; Metazoa; Chordata; Mammalia; Primates; Hominidae. The transcript is spliced from 2 exons.
AAUGACACAGAUUACUUCUGCUGACAGCUCAUGGGUUAGAACUGGUCACAUGGCCCCACCCAACCACACGGGGAUCAGGAAGUAUAAUCACACCGGAAGGUGAAAAGCUGGAAAUGUUCUGCGAGCAACUUGAGACAGAUGGAAACAAGAGAAGAAACAGUGGAGUGGUAACGGAAGUGUUGACACGACUCCAGGGCUUCUCUGCUGACCUCCAGAUGCCAAGUUGCCUAUUGGACAUUUCCACCUGCACAUUUGACCUGCAUCCUCAACAUAACAUACCUGAAACUGAAUUCUCGAGUUCCUCCCUCCACUCCAAACCUGCUUCUUCUGCAAUAUUCCCAACCUUAUUGUUCUGGUCACUCAGACAAAAGAUCUUGGAGUCAUCCUUGAUGCCUCUCUUUUUUGUCACAUCCCACAUCUAAUCUGCCAACAAAUCCAGUUCAAUCUACCUUCAAAAUAUAUUGAAUUUCCAACUGUUUCUUUUCACCUCUGUUGCUUACCCUCUGAUCAAAACCACCAUCAUCUCUUCCUUGGAUUAUUUCAGUAGUGCCAUUACACUCCCCGUGUUGUGGGUGGACCGUGUUUCCACAAAAAGAUAAAUAGAAAUCCUCAUCCUUGGUACCUCUGAAUGUAAUCUUAUUUGGAAAAAAGGUCUUUGCCAAUGUAAUCAAGUUAAGAUGAAGUCAUACUGGAUUAAGGUGAGUUCUACUCCAAUAAGACUGAUGUCUUUAUAAGAAGAGAAAACAGACAUGAGGAAUGAGAACACCAUGUGAAGAUGCUGAGACACAUGGUGGGAGAACAGCAUGUGAUGAUGGAGGCAGAGACUGGAGUUACGUAUCUACAAGCCAAAGAAUGCCACAGAUUGCCAGUGACAAUAGAAGCUAAGAGAAAGUUGUGGAACGGAUUCUUUGCUACAGUCUGUGAGAAAGCACAAGCCUGCCGAAACCUUGAUUUUUAGACUUCUGGCCUCCAGAACUGCGAGAGAAUACAUUUCUGCUGUUUUAAGCACCCAGUUUGGGGUAAUUUGUUAUGGUAGCCCUAGGAAACCUAAUAUACCUUGCUUCUUCCUUCUCUCCCCUGAAGACUAUUUUCCACUUAGUAAAAAAAAAGUGUAUGAUUUAUCUGAUUAAAGAUGUCACUCAAAAACCUUCAUUUCCUCAAAAGGUUAAACAUAGAAUUCCCAUAUGAUCUGACAAUUCCACUGCUGGAUGUAUGCCCAAAAGAACUGAGCGCAGGGACUCAAACAGAUAUUGGGUUGAUAAGUCUAUUGUAUUUUAAAACUGAGCUGGGUCCCGUGUAAUUCUGAGUCUGAGCUGAACUGAAAAUGUGAUAUUUACUCCUGAGACACCUUAGCUUAUUCAGAUUCAAUGGGAGAUAUUGCCUAAGAUUUUAUCUCUCUGCAGAUCAGUUCUUCACCUUUCAGCAUGAUCCCCAGUCUUGUUUUUUCAAGCAACAAUUUGACUUUAUAUUUAUCACAUAUAAUUCUAAGUUUUAGAACAGUUACUUUGUGGUAAGUAUAACUCUUCCAGAACUUAGCAUUAUGUGUGAUAAAUAUAAAGUGUUCCAACUCAGCACUUAUGAAUUUCUAGAUAAAUUGCUGAGUAUACUAUUAAGUUCUCAUUCCUGGUCAUCUUAAAACAUGUACCUGGAAUAAACACAGUUUAUGAUAUACAAAAACAAAAUGCUGUUCACUGUUCAGCCGUUUGUAGCCCUUUGUGCUAUUGAAGCCAUUUUUCUGAGGUUACUAAUGACUCUCUACUUGCUAAACCCAAUGGCUUAGAAGUCACCCUACUCAACUUCUCUAUGACAUUUGACAUUGUUGAUCACUGCCUCCUUUAUGAAAUUUUCAUCUUUUUAUGGCUUCCUUGACACUACUGUCUCCUGAUAGUCUUGCUGCCCACCCUGACCACAUCUCAGCCUCCCUCCUUGACCCAUCUUCUUUAUCAGGCUCACGGGAGGACGUUCCCUUGGGCUCUUUUCCUUUUCACUCUAUUCUCUCUCUCGGCAGAUUUACCAGACUUAAUUAUCACUUACAUGCAAAUAGUUCCUCAGUUUUCAGUCUUAACUUCUCUUUCUAGAGCUCUAGAUCAGUAUUUCCAACUGGAGUAAUGCAUGUUCCAUUGAUUCCUUCAUAUUUCCCACAUCUCAUGGAACCCCAGACCUGCUCUCUACUUUCAUUUCUCGUCUCAGUUCCUGACAGCAGCAUCUACCCAAUCACUACAGUUAGAGUCACACGUCACAUCUCCUUCUGUCCAUGAUCCUGAUUGGCUGGAGCUGUUGCAUCCACAGUCAGCAUAAUACUCAUAGUACUCAAGAGCAAGGACUCUGCAUCUGGGUUGCCAGGGCUCAGACCCAGGUCUAUUACUCACUAGGGGGGUGCUCUUGAGUAAGAUGCUUAACCUCUAUGUCUAACUUUACUCAUCUAUAAAAUGAAGAUAACAAUAGUAGCUACUUCUUAGAGUUCUUGUGAAGAUUAAAUACAUUUAUAUUUGUAAAGUGCUUAGAACAGUGCCUGGCACAUCGUAAGUGUUACAUAGCUGCUUGUUAAUAAAUUGGUCUUGAGUUUGUC